This 477-nucleotide ribosomal RNA is filed under the name uncultured bacterium. Its description in RNAcentral is "partial 16S ribosomal RNA". It matches the Rfam family "Bacterial small subunit ribosomal RNA", at positions 28 to 507 of the family's 1533-position model. The record is from RNAcentral.
GAUUAACGCUGGCGGCGUGCAUAACACAUGCAAGUCGAACGAUGAAACUUAGUAGACUUCUUCGGAAAGACACUAAGCGGAUUAGUGGCGAACGGGUGAGUAACGCGUGAGUAACCUGCCUUACACAAGGGGAUAGCCUUUGGAAACGAAGAAUAAUACCCUAUAAAACCAUAAAAGCACAUGCUAGAAUGGUCAAAGUGAUAGCGGUGUAAGAUGGACUUGCGUCUGAUUAGCUAGUUGGUGAGAUAAAAGCUCACCAAGGCAACGAUCAGUAGCCGGCUUAAGAGAGUGUACGGCCACAUUGGGACUGAGACACGGCCCAGACUCCUACGGGAGGCAGCAGUGGGGAAUUUUGCACAAUGGGGGAAACCCUGAUGCAGCGACGCCGCGUGAUUUAGAAGGCCUUCGGGUUGUAAAAAUCUUUUGUAUAGGAAGAAAAUGACAGUACUAUACGAAUAAGGUCCGGCUAAUUACGUG